AUACACAUUUUUUUCUGCUUCUACAUGUAGCUAAAAUUUUCAGAACUGAUUUUCAACUUCUAUAUCAGAAUCACCAAGGAGUAUAGACAUGAGAUGGCAGAAAGGGUAAAAAAGAUUGCAGAGAACUCGAAAGAUGUGAUGCGACAUAUUCGUUCCAAGUAUGUCAAAAAGCUGGAUUCUUCAAGGGACAUGAUGUCAGAAGAUUCUUAUUUUGAAUAUUCAAAAAAAAUAGAUGCUAAAACGAAGCUCUAUGUUGACAAGAUUGCUACUCUAGCAGCGAAGAGGAGUAAAGAAAUCAAUGCAUAACAGAACAUUUUAUACAAUCAUAUUUACAAUUAAAUGAAAUGAAUAUA
Long non-coding RNA from Saccostrea cuccullata (small rock oyster), 353 nucleotides. RefSeq lists it as uncharacterized. The record is from RefSeq and is a predicted model, not a curated record. NCBI's taxonomy places the organism in Eukaryota, Metazoa, Mollusca, Bivalvia, Ostreida, Ostreidae. The transcript is spliced from 2 exons.